UUAUUAUCUUUUUUUUUUGAAACAGAGUCUUGCUCUAUUCCCCAGACUGGAGUGCAGUAGCAUGAUCUCGGCUCACUGCAACCUCCACCUCCCGUGUUCAAGCCAUUCUCCUGCCUCAGGAGAGUAGGUGGGAUUACAGGCACCUGUCACCAUGCCUGGCUAAUUUUUGUAUUUUUUUGGUAGAGAUGUGGUUUUGCCAUGUUGGCCACGCUAGUCUCCAACUCCUGACCUCAAAUGAUCCAUCUCCCUUGGCCUCCCAGUGUUCUGUGAUUACAGGCGUGAGCCACAGCACCCCAGCCUUUAGCUAUUAACUUUCUUUUUUCUUUUUUGGAGACAGAGUCUUGCUCUGUUGCCCAGGCUGGAGUGCAGUGGCGCAAUUUCGGCUCACCACAACCUCUGCCUCCCAGGUUCAAGCGAUUCUUCUACCUCAGCCUCCCAAGUAGCUGGGACUACAGGACAAUGGCAUGAACCCAGAAGGCGGAGCUUGCAGUGAGCCGAGAUCGUGCCACUGCACUCCAGCCUGGGCGACACAGCAAGACUCCGCCUCAAAAAAACAAAAAACAAAAACAAAAAACAAAAUAAGCUGGAUAUGCUGGUGCAUGCCUGUAGUCCCAGCUACUAGGAAGGCUGAGGCAGGGGGAUCACCUGAGCCCAGGAGGCCUAGGGUGCAGUGACUAUAGUGAGCCGUGUUCGAACCACUGCACUCCGGGCU
This 712-nucleotide long non-coding RNA is filed under the name Homo sapiens (human). RNAcentral's name for it is "HSALNT0001114". The record is from RNAcentral. Lineage: Eukaryota; Metazoa; Chordata; Mammalia; Primates; Hominidae.